AGUAUUUAUGAAAAUGAAUGAAAACAUGAGAGCUGUAGUACCGACGUUCUUUUUGAUGUUCUGAUCUCAUCUUUCUGGUCUGUCUGCGGUCAAAGGACACAUCAUUUUAAACUUUAAACAAGUCUCGCUGUUUUUCUGGUACAUUCUGUUACAUACUAUUACACUUAGUUACAGCAUGUUACAGCUGUGAAAAAAUAUUGCCUCUGUACUCUAAACAAGACUUCAAUAAAAAAUAACUUGAUUAGUUAUUUUAAGUGAAAGGUUAGUUGAUUCAGGCCAUUUUACGAUCAAAAUUGUUUAACAUCUCUUAAUUUUUAAUAUAUGCUCCUGCUUAAAUAUUACUUGUUUUCAUUUACAAAGAGGUCAGACAAAAUAUCUUUUUUUUAUAUAUAAAAUAUUUUUUUUAUAUAUAUAUUUGUAAAUACAUUGAAAUAACUGUAACCAUACAAAUAUCAGCUAUGAAUAACUAAAACAAAGCCUAACAACAUGCACACAUGACUCUAACUCUUUCACAAACCAGACUGACCCCAGGUAUGGAUAUCUCAAAUACCCAACUCACAAUAGUUAGAUAUCUUGGCGCUACCGUUCUUGUCCUCAUAAAUUUUAUGCUUCUUUCCCAUUUUAUUCACUUUUUUUUUUUAAAUACAGUGUUUUAACAUGUACAUUCUUUUUGUCUGUAAUUUUAAUUUUAAACGUAUUUAUUUUCCAUUACCGUUUUACCCAUUACUGUUUCACCCAUUCCAUCUUGUCCGAAAAUCAGUGCUUUCUACACAUUUAGGUGUAAUGCGAUGUUGAAAUUGCACUCUCGCUGUUCUCUGCAUCUCUUUUUUCGUACCAUUUAAUUGAUUUAAUAAAAAGGUGGUGUAACCACACUCUUACUCAUUUUAUGUAGUCUACUGUAUUAUAUUUUACCGUAUAGAAUGCGGAGCAAAGAUCUUUGAAACAUUGUAGCCUGUAAAACAUUUUAAUGACUUUAAACGCCAUAUAUAGACGUUUUACCCUCCAGGGGUUAGACACAGAGGGUGUUCACAUUCUCUCUACACUGUAAUGAAUUGCUGUAAAAAUUACAGCAAUAUUUUACAGCCGCUGGCUGUAUUUUGAUAAUACAGCAUAUUGCUGUAAACUGCAAUGCAUUCCGGGGGCGUGGCGGUUUAAAUCAAAUUUACAGAAUAUUGCUGUAAAUUUCAAAUAUACAGAGGCAUUGUGGGAUCUUCAACGGUCGAGAUUCGUGUAGCAGCAAGAGGAUUGACUUACAACUGUGGUAUUUAUCCGGAGAGAGGAACAAAGACGAAAGGAAAAGUGCCAUCUAACAAGCCAGACAGUUCAGAAGAAACGGGUUGCGGUCAACCUACAUGUUGCCACUCUUCAGUGCAAAGUGAUAGAUUUUCAGUGGAAUUUCUGAAAUCCUCUCUUUGAAUCCUGGGAUGGAACAUCAUCUGGAGCAUUUUUGAUCACAAGUUUGUUGGACUUGUUGUUUGGCCAUGUUGGUCUGUUCAUAAAGUGAUGAAAGUGAUCUGGUUUUUAAGAAAUGUUUUUAUAUGACCAUGUUGCUCAAGUUAUAGUUAUAACGCAGUUUGCAUAUUUCUUUGUGUGAAGGGCCAUGAUGGCCAAUAAGUAAUUUAAAAAUGUUUUCAUGACAAUUUUAUGUCCAUUUAAAAAAUAAAAUGAUUUUCUAAAUAAAAAA
Molecule: long non-coding RNA, 1684 nt
Organism: Megalobrama amblycephala (Wuchang bream)
Lineage: Eukaryota; Metazoa; Chordata; Actinopteri; Cypriniformes; Xenocyprididae
Exons: 3
Source: RefSeq, a predicted model, not a curated record